RNAcentral lists this ribosomal RNA (166 nucleotides) under uncultured Nitrosomonadales bacterium. Its description in RNAcentral is "partial 16S ribosomal RNA". It matches the Rfam family "Bacterial small subunit ribosomal RNA", at positions 339 to 495 of the family's 1533-position model. The record is from RNAcentral. Lineage: Bacteria; Pseudomonadati; Pseudomonadota; Betaproteobacteria; Nitrosomonadales.
CUACGGGAGGCAGCAGNGGGGAAUUUUGGACAAUGGGCGAAAGCCUGAUCCAGCCAUGCCGCGUGAGUGAAGAAGGCCUUCGGGUUGUAAAGCUCUUUNNGUCGGAAAGAAAGAGNANCGAAUNAAUAAUUGUGAUUUAUGACGGNNCCGCCCAGAAAAAGCACCG